CGGGGGAUAACUAUUGGAAACGAUAGCUAAUACCGCAUAACAAUGGAUGACACAUGUCAUUUAUUUGAAAGGGGCAAUUGCUCCACUACAAGAUGGACCUGCGUUGUAUUAGCUAGUAGGUGAGGUAAUGGCUCACCUAGGCGACGAUACAUAGCCGACCUGAGAGGGUGAUCGGCCACACUGGGACUGAGACACGGCCCAGACUCCUACGGGAGGCAGCAGUAGGGAAUCUUCGGCAAUGGGGGCAACCCUGACCGAGCAACGCCGCGUGAGUGAAGAAGGUUUUCGGAUCGUAAAGCUCUGUUGUAAGUCAAGAACGGGUGUGAGAGUGGAAAGUUCACACUGUGACGGUAGCUUACCAGAAAGGGACGGCUAACUACGUGCCAGCAGCCGCGGUAAUACGUAGGUCCCGAGCGUUGUCCGGAUUUAUUGGGCGUAAAGCGAGCGCAGGCGGUUUGAUAAGUCUGAAGUUAAAGGCUGUGGCUCAACCAUAGUUCGCUUUGGAAACUGUCAAACUUGAGUGCAGAAGGGGAGAGUGGAAUUCCAUGUGUAGCGGUGAAAUGCGUAGAUAUAUGGAGGAACACCGGUGGCGAAAGCGGCUCUCUGGUCUGUAACUGACGCUGAGGCUCGAAAGCGUGGGGAGCGAACAGGAUUAGAUACCCUGGUAGUCCACGCCGUAAACGAUGAGUGCUAGGUGUUGGAUCCUUUCCGGGAUUCAGUGCCGCAGCUAACGCAUUAAGCACUCCGCCUGGGGAGUACGACCGCAAGG
Molecule: ribosomal RNA, 769 nt
Filed under: Streptococcus thermophilus
Lineage: Bacteria; Bacillati; Bacillota; Bacilli; Lactobacillales; Streptococcaceae
Description: bacterial SSU rRNA
Rfam family: Bacterial small subunit ribosomal RNA
Source: RNAcentral